GAGUCGAACGAUGAAGCCCUUCGGGGUGGAUUAGUGGCGAACGGGUGAGUAACACGUGGGCAAUCUGCCCUUCACUCUGGGACAAGCCCUGGAAACGGGGUCUAAUACCGGAUAACACUCUGUCCCGCAUGGGACGGGGUUGAAAGCUCCGGCGGUGAAGGAUGAGCCCGCGGCCUAUCAGCUUGUUGGUGGGGUAAUGGCCUACCAAGGCGACGACGGGUAGCCGGCCUGAGAGGGCGACCGGCCACACUGGGACUGAGACACGGCCCAGACUCCUACGGGAGGCAGCAGUGGGGAAUAUUGCACAAUGGGCGAAAGCCUGAUGCAGCGACGCCGCGUGAGGGAUGACGGCCUUCGGGUUGUAAACCUCUUUCAGCAGGGAAGAAGCGAAAGUGACGGUACCUGCAGAAGAAGCGCCGGCUAACUACGUGCCAGCCGCCCGGGGUAAU
RNAcentral lists this ribosomal RNA (449 nucleotides) under Streptomyces sp. A00143. RNAcentral describes it as "bacterial SSU rRNA". It matches the Rfam family "Bacterial small subunit ribosomal RNA", at positions 59 to 524 of the family's 1533-position model. Lineage: Bacteria; Bacillati; Actinomycetota; Actinomycetes; Kitasatosporales; Streptomycetaceae. The record is from RNAcentral.